CGGCGGACGGGUGAGUAACACGUGGAUAACCUACCUAUAAGACUGGGAUAACUUCGGGAAACCGGAGCUAAUACCGGACAAUAUAUUGAACCGCAUGGUUCAAUAGUGAAAGACGGUUUUGCUGUCACUUAUAGAUGGAUCCGCGCCGCAUUAGCUAGUUGGUAAGGUAACGGCUUACCAAGGCAACGAUGCGUAGCCGACCUGAGAGGGUGAUCGGCCACACUGGAACUGAGACACGGUCCAGACUCCUACGGGAGGCAGCAGCC
RNAcentral lists this ribosomal RNA (266 nucleotides) under uncultured Staphylococcus sp. Its description in RNAcentral is "partial 16S ribosomal RNA". It matches the Rfam family "Bacterial small subunit ribosomal RNA", at positions 96 to 355 of the family's 1533-position model. The record is from RNAcentral. Lineage: Bacteria; Bacillati; Bacillota; Bacilli; Caryophanales; Staphylococcaceae.